This 293-nucleotide ribosomal RNA is filed under the name uncultured bacterium. Its description in RNAcentral is "partial 16S ribosomal RNA". It matches the Rfam family "Bacterial small subunit ribosomal RNA", at positions 28 to 320 of the family's 1533-position model. The record is from RNAcentral.
GACGAACGCUGGCGGCGUGCUUAACACAUGCAAGUCGAGCGGUAAGGCCCUUUCGGGGGGUACACGAGCGGCGAACGGGUGAGUAACACGUGGGUGACCUGCCCUCAGCUCUGGGAUAAGCCUGGGAAACCGGGUCUAAUACUGGAUAUGACUCCAUGACGCAUGUUGUGGGGUGGAAAGCCUUGUGCGGCUGAGGAUGGGCCCGCGGCCUAUCAGCUUGUUGGUGGGGGUGANGGCCUACCAAGGCGACGACGGGUAGCCGGCCUGAGAGGGCGACCGGCCACACUGGGACU